RNAcentral lists this transfer RNA (66 nucleotides) under Curculionidae sp. 5 AH-2016. RNAcentral describes it as "tRNA-Ser". The record is from RNAcentral. Lineage: Eukaryota; Metazoa; Arthropoda; Insecta; Coleoptera; Curculionidae.
GAAUUAAGAAAAUUUCAAGAUAAAACUUCUAAUUUAAUCUUAAGCGAACUAAUCGUUUUUAAUUCU